GGAAAGAUGCCAGAGAGGACAAAUGGGCAUGUCUCGAAAACAUUGCGGAGUAAAAUCCACGAGGGUUCGAAUCCCUCUCUUUCCG
RNAcentral lists this transfer RNA (85 nucleotides) under Simkania sp. RNAcentral's name for it is "tRNA-Ser". It matches the Rfam family "tRNA". Rfam says of the family: Transfer RNA (tRNA) molecules are approximately 80 nucleotides in length. Their secondary structure includes four short double-helical elements and three loops (D, anti-codon, and T loops). The record is from RNAcentral. Lineage: Bacteria; Pseudomonadati; Chlamydiota; Chlamydiia; Parachlamydiales; Simkaniaceae.